GAGAGCGGCUGAAGGAACGAGGAUAUUCUGUUCUCCACACUAACUAACGCACCUUACCAUCUUCGCUCUCCAGCUAUGUACCUGCAAUCCGCCCUUGCAGUCCUCGCCCUCCUCCCCCUCCCCCUCUCCUCCCUGGCGGUUGGACAGUGGUAGCGCGGACUGAGCAGCUGGAGUGCGCAGGGCAGGCCGGCAUGCACCUGGAGAGAAACCGCCCCGCCAAGCCGUCUAAAGGGCUCCGCCGGAGACACAGCGUGCACACGGACGCUCCAACAGCAGCGAGGAUAUAGCAGCAGAGCACCGGGCGGAUAUCGGAGCCGCAGCAUGGGCGGGGGAGAGAUAGAGGCAGAGCCAAAAUGAAAGCCAUGUAAUUCCACGGACAUAAGAAGAGGGGUGGGGGGAACCCAGCGUUUGGAUCAGAGUUGUCACGGGUGUAUAUUUGUAUGGGGCUUGGUUUGGUAUCUUGUUCUCUGAAAUUCACCAAACACAGUACUUUUUUUCUCUGCCAACCUCCACUGUGUAGUUUAAAAGGAUGGAGAGAGGCGCACAUCAGCCGCAGCUGUCCAAAAGCGCACAGAGUCCGCCAGAGGACAUCUCCAAAAUCAGUGACGAGGAGCUGCUGAAGUGGGGCAAAGAGGAGCUGGUGCGGCGGCUGCGGAGGGCAGAGGCGGGGAACAGGAGCGCCAUCGUGGAGCACGGAAAUCUGAUGCGGGAGGUGAACCGGAGACUCCAGCAGCACCUGAACGAGAUACGAAGCUUAAAGGACGUGAACCAGAAACUGCAGGAGGAUAACCAGGAGCUGCGGGACCUGUGCUGCUUCCUGGACGACGACCGGCAGAAGGGGAAGCGUGUGUCGCGGGAGUGGCAACGUCUGGGCCGCUACAGCGCGGGCCUGAUGAGGAAGGAGGUGGCCAUCUACCUGCAGAAGCUGAAAGAGCUGGAGCAACGCCAGCUGGAUGUCAUGCGGGAAAACCUGGAGCUCAAGGAGGUGUGCCUCAUGCUGGAGGAGGAGAGGGCCGCGGCCGUGGCUGGAGGAGGGGGAGGGGCAGGCGGUGGAGGUGUGGGCGGGCAUGGAGGCCCCGGCCGUAGGAGCUCCAUUGACAGUCAGAGCAGCUUGUCCCAGCUAGGUGGAAGUGUCCCUGCACCUGGCCUGCUGCGGGACGUCGGCGAUGGGAGCAGCACCUCCAGCGCGGGGAGUACCGAUAGCCCAGACAACCCCCACCUCAAACCUCCUCCCCUGGGCUUCAACGCCAGCCCUGGAUCCAGAGGUGUCUCCUCUGAGCACGCCCAGAAACCCGCUGAUGUGUGCGAAUCAACAGGCAGGAGACACAGCUCCACCCCAGAGUACCACACCUUCCCCCAGUCCUGCCGCCCUCGCGGGGGGUCCCUCACCAAUGCGGAACCCCGUGGCCUUCGGGGACACAGCCCAGAGAAACACAGCAAGUCCCCCACCAGGCUGCCAUGUGACUACCACUCUAAACCCUGCAGCUCUGACCUAUUAGCCCACAAACAGCUAUUUAUGUCUGGGCAGGCUUCAGCAGGCUGUGGGAAGGGCACCGCCAAGUCCAGCCCAGAGCUGAGUCAGAGACACCGGUCGGUUACCAUGGGGCAGGGGUCAGGCUGUGGGAGUCCUGAGGCCAAGCUGGCAGGCAUGGGAACGCCUGAGCACCUGAGGAAAGGCCGGGUGAUUGUGGGUAGUCCAGAGUCUAUACGGCACCACCAUCACUAUCAGCACAGCACCGGGCUGGAGCACGGCAAAGGGACCUAUAGCAGUGGCUCCCCCGGCAGGGACGGGAUGCAGAGGAGGGCAGCGGAAGAGGAGAUGGCUCCCCACCACCAGAGUCUGUACAACGAUCCACAGGAUCUGCCCAUCCAUGACAGGAAUCAAAGUGGAUUGACAGAAAGGGAAAAGUGUCUGUGUCAUACAGUCAGCGAAGCAGUUCAGAGUGAACAAAUACACCUCACUCUCUGAUAUCUGCCGGUUGCUGCACCAACUCCUGUAGGAGUGUAAAGCUUUGGGACAGCUUUGAUACCUCCUGACCAUGAUAUGCCUCUUGAUCAGAUGCUGCUGUGACAACACACACCCCAGAGAGAGGUUAUUAGCAGAAUGGAUGGAUGGUUGGAUGGAUGAAAGAAAGAGUGGAUCGAGAUAAAACUGGAUGGAGAAAUUAUCAUGGAUUUCAAAACCAAGCAGUGAGGGCGAGGGAGCAGAUGAGUGAAACAAGGCGACAAAACACUGGAAACACUUAAACACUCUCUCUGCCCUGUCUGCUGCUGCUGCUAUGCAUUUCCCGUGGACUACCAGAAAAGACUGAAUGUCAUUGUUUGGACGGUCAGAGGCUAAUCAUUGUAUUGCCAAAAUGAAGAAAGAAAAAUAAGACAACUGAGAAUCUUUGUGUUGCCAACUAAAUAGUCCUACCUCUUUGGAAAGACAGAGACUGUCUGGAAGAAAGAACCUUUACACAGAAGAGUAACACUGGAGGUUACAGCCCCGUUUUCUUCACAAUCUCUUCACAAUCACAAUGCCAGUGAUUAUUUUAAAACUUAUAAUACCCAAUAUGUGAUGAUGGUAACUACUUUUACAAAGUCAUUGUGGACCUGGAAUUAAAGCACAAAAGAAGUUACUGAUUCAUUUUAAGUAAAAGAGGAGUUUUGAGUUAUUUUAAAAGAUAAUUCUGUUUUAAUACAAUUCUGGUCAUAUUUCGUAGCCUCAUUUAUAGUAACAUUGUACUCACCAAAGCUAUUGCUGAGAUCUGGGAAUACGGAAACAUCACUACAACAGUCCAACAGGGCAAGAGGUCAGGCAAUCAGACAAGUCAUAAACAAGUUAGUUUAGCUAGAUUAUCUAAAACACUUUAUUCGGAGGUUAUACUGAAAGUGAGUGUACCACAAAUAGUAAUCCCCCACUGCACAUGAAAACUAUGUUCACACCAUUACACACAACUAAUGUUUUCACCUCUCAGUACAUUUGCAGAUUCACUUAUUCACAAGUUUCACAUUCCUUUUCCGUUUCUUUCUUUUCCUUUUUUCAUUUGCAACAAUUAGUCGAUUAGUUAAUUGACAGAAAAAGGUAUGGCAACAAUUUCGAAUCAUUAAUCAUUCUGAGUAAUUAAAUUAUUAGAACGCCAAAGUUCUUUGGUUUCAGCUUCUUAAAUGUGAAUAUGUUCUGGUUUCUUCUAGGAUCUUUGGACUUUGAACUGUCAGACAAAACUAGACGUUUAAGGAGAUCAUGUCCUUGGGCUUUGGGAAAUUGUGAUUUGAUUUGUGAUUGUGAGGAUUGUUCACCAUUUUUUGACAUUCUACAGACAAAACGAUUCAUUGAGAAAAUAAUCAACGGACAAUUGAUAGUGAAAAUAAUUGUUGAGGCCUACUCUCAUUUAACAAAUAUCAGUCUCAUUACAGUUUACUGAUCACACUCACAGCCGUAUCAGAGCUGUCAGAGAUGGCAGAUUCUGACUGCCUUUGACUCGCGUUCUCACUUUCGAAUUCAAAAUGUUGCUAGGCUUAUAAAGUGAAACAUUUCAGGCUGUUCUCAUGAACCAUUUGUAUAUAUAGUUAGAAAAGUAAUGCACUGUAAUUUGUAUGUAUUCAACGUAGUUAUUACUGUAUGCACCAUAUUGACUACUGCUAUAAGACCGCUAAGAUCUGCGUAGGGAGAGGGUUGGGGUGCAUAAAUGCAUCCAACAACACAGACUUUCAAGUAGGGAAGCAGAGUUUGUGUCCUGGAAGAAGUUAAGGGUUAAACACAAGACUUAACUGUAACAGCCGCUAAACUUUACUGUCGUGACCGGUCGUCACGUGACCAGCCGUGACCACCAGUCAUAUAUGAUAUCAUACGAAUUGUUUUGCAUAAGUUUUCUUACGAUUUUAUACAAACCCCUUCAUGAGAAUGCAUUGAACAUUUUCCUACAUGCUAUGUAUCUGUGACGAAAAUUAGCAAAGCUUUGUUGGGGGUGCUAUUGUUAAAAAUUUACCUACACAACAUUAUGGUGAAAUUUGGCACCUCCUGUUAGCAGAUCAUGGAUAAAAAAGAAACAGCAAACCUGACUAAUCACUCAUGUUUUUUUCCCUAAUCAGACGAUUUAGCCAUGUCACUGCGUUCCCAGAUCCCAGCAAUUAACUUGAUUAGAGCUGAAACAAUUAGUCAGUUACGGGAUUAGUCGAUCAACAGAAAAAUAUCUAACUAUUUAGAUAAUCGUUUAAUUGGUUUGGUCAUUUUUCAAGCAAAUAUGGUGAAAAAUGCUACACAUUCUCAGGUUUCAGCUUCGCAAAGGACAGGGUUGUAAUAGUAAACUUAAUGUGUUUGGUUUUUCACUUUUGUGAAGAGCAACGUAGGAAAGCUUUUUUGCACACCUCUUUUGUCGGGCAGGUGCGUAGGAUAUGAUCAAAAGUAGCAGAUAAAAAAGUUUAGAGAAACUCCCGCACACUCACCAUUAUGCAAGCAAUAAUUUAUUUAGAAGAAAAAUACAGAAUACAUGAAAAAUACCUAAGGUCUGAGACCGAAACGUUAUUUUUCUUCUAAAUAAAUUAUUGCUUGCGUAAUGGUCAGUGUGCGGAAUUUUCACUUUUGUUCCAAAAAAGCGAUGGUAUUUUUUCUUUUUACAUUUUUUUGAGAUUUCAUAUAUCAAAUGAUUAUUGGUUAGAUAAUCACAAGAUAGAUAAAUAAUGGGCAGAAUAAACAAUAAUAAAAAUAAUAGUUAGUUGCAGCCUUAAACUUGAUGAGUGCAAUGUUAUUAUUACUGAUAGAAAUUAUGGUGAAAACUAUGACAUUAUAAGCCAGGUUGUAAUAAAGACCAAUUAUACUUUAAAGACCUCCAUCAAACAAACACUUGUUUUCUUUGAGCAUACUGUACAGUCUGUUUGGAAUUACAACACAGCAGUUACCAGCAUAGCUAGCAUUUACCUCCAUUUGAUGAAAAUAAGCUAACAGAGAAGCAAAUGUUCCAGUUGUCAUAUUUGGAAGUUUGCAUAGCUUCUGUGUGAAAUAGUUGUUCCUGUGUAGUUAUGAGGCAUAUGCCCAGGGUGCUGUAACUUUAAGGGUUACAAAGAGAACAUAUAGAGAAUGUGUGGGGAGAAUUUAAAUAUGUUGUUGUUUAUGGGAGAAGAAAAGGUUUAGUUAUUUUCUGCACCUCAUUCAGCUUUUGUGUCAAGGUCUGUUCCUAUACCAACAGUGUUAGAGUAUUCUAAACCUUGUGUUAGCGUUCAGUCAUAUAUAUGGGGCUGUGUGUUUGCUUGUCAUUUUCCACACUCGCAGGUAUUUAGACACGGACAACAUGCCUUGUGCAACAUUUUAUCACAGCAUGUUAAGGAGAUAUGCAGGUGUAGAUGCCAGAAGACACAAAUAGAUCAAGAACAGUGGAUACCCAGCAACACUAUUUUCAGUUUCUCUAGAUUUGAAUGCUUCAAAGCCUAAAAUGAAAACUCAAUAAAUCAUACAGUAUUUUCAUUUACUUAUUUUUAUUUUCACUUGAUUACUACUGAGCUAGCUCUCAGUCGUUGCUAGUCUUUUACGAAAACAAAAUUAAUUUUUUUCACACAUCAUAUAUGAUACAAAGUGCUCCUUCUACUUCAAUAAAGGCAUCUGUGCGUGUGUAAAUGUACACAUACCGGAAUGCAGAAAGCAUAAGAACCAGACAGUAGUCAAGAUUUUUUGUUUUGUUAAUUCAAAGAAUUGAUUUGAAUAAGCUAGCAUUACAGUUAAGUAAAUUUACUAGCUACCGUUGACAUUAGUUGCUGGCUUAAGCCUGAUUUAUGCGUCUGUGUUGAAUCUACGCUGUACCAAGUUUAUGGACCCUACGCCGUAGCCUGACCUGCAUCUUCCCAGAAAUGUGAUUGGUCAACUUAGCUGUGGCAUUUCCGUGUACUCCUUUGUGAACAACAUAAAAUUGAGGGUUAACUUUUCCUGCUACAGAUUUCCUCAGAAAGCAAAGGGGAGACACUUUCUUUUUUUCCGUCUCAAAUGCUAGUCGCUCUGAAGCCAAUCCCCGUCCCUUUCUCUCUUGCUCUACCACACACACACACACACACACACACACACACACACACCGCCUCUGCUAUUCUCCUAAAGAGAUACGCUAGAUCGAUGUAGACACACCAGCAAUCAUGCUAUAAACUUUUACUUGCUACAGAACAUUGAUGACAUUGACAACUACUUAAAUUAUAAAAUAAAAUCAAGCCUCUUGUAUUUUGAAAAUUAAACUCUUUAGUAUCACCAUUUCAAUAUAAAGAUAUUAACCACUCAGCCCUACCUUGAGUUAACCCAUAGUUGUGCUCAUAGGUCUUAUGCUAUUAGGUUUCUAAGUAGUAGGAGUAAGCUAUAUUUAUUGUGUGUGGGUUAGUGGAGAUUUCUUGGAUUUAAUGAAUAAAUGCUCCCACAUACACACCCCUUUUAAACUCUUGUUUUAUGCUUUGCUUUCACAGAGGAAAACAGAUUUCACUGAAAGCACAGAUGCACCAAAUCCAAGGUCAGGAUUUUACAAGAAAUGGCAAACUGACUUAGCAAAACAGAACUUGCAGUUUGUGUCGGAAAUGUUUAAAAUCAUGCAUUAGAGAUCCAACUUGGCCCGUAUGUUUUGUGACAGGAAGCUUGGUUUCAGCAGGAUUAGCAUUCCAGGAUGUCUGUCCUCACCAAAAUACAUAAGGUGAUUUAUUCCAAUUUAUUAUAUUUUUUUUAAAGCAUUCAUUUCAACUGCAUUUUCUAAAAGUAUUUUCAGGAUUUCCACAACCAGAUUAAAUUAUCAAGAUGUGUUGUCCUAAUAAAACUGGAUGUGCGAAAAAUGUGACAUUUUACUUGGUGAACACACAGUAGCUCAUAAUAAUAUACACAAUCAUACAUACAUGCACACAUAUACAUUUAUCCAGAAUCCAUACUGUAUAACCUCUUCACCCCAGACAGAUGAAACAAGACAAGAACUAUAAUAUAUUAUCAAAGAAAUUAUGUUUUUAAAAGUCAAGAGUAGGAUAUCUGCUUAGUUUUAUAAAUAUAUAACAAUUAUUAUUUUUGACUUCUUGGUAUUAUAUAUUUAAUUAUAAGUAAUAUGUAUGUAAUGUAUAAGCUAAUAAAGUGUCUUUAUGUAAAAUUGA
Perca fluviatilis (European perch) is the source of this 7080-nucleotide RNA transcript. It is a transcript of the gene named coiled-coil domain-containing protein 85A-like, with no coding region annotated. The transcript has 5 exons. The record is from RefSeq and is a predicted model, not a curated record. NCBI's taxonomy places the organism in Eukaryota, Metazoa, Chordata, Actinopteri, Perciformes, Percidae.